CCCCAGACUCCUACGGGAGGCAGCAGUGAGGAAUAUUGGGCAAUGGGGGCAACCCUGACCCAGCCAUGCCGCGUGAGUGAAGAAGGUCUUCGGAUUGUAAAGCUCUUUCGGACGUGACGAUGAUGACGGUAGCGUCUAAAGAAGCACCGGCAAACUUCGUGCCAGCAGCCGCGGUAAUACGAAGGGUGCGAGCGUUAUCCGGAUUUAUUGGGUUUAAAGGGUGCGUAGGCGGAGUGUCAAGUCAGCGGUAAAAUUUCGGGGCUCAACCCCGUCGUGCCGUUGAAACUGACGCCCUUGAGUGAGUGAGAAGUAAGCGGAAUGCGUGGUGUAGCGGUGAAAUGCAUAGAUAUCACGCAGAACGCCGAUUGCGAAGGCAGCUUACCGGCGCUCAACUGACGCUGAGGCACGAAAGUGCGGGUAUCGAACAGGAUUAGAUACCCCCGUA
This 445-nucleotide ribosomal RNA is filed under the name uncultured bacterium. Its description in RNAcentral is "bacterial SSU rRNA". It matches the Rfam family "Bacterial small subunit ribosomal RNA", at positions 329 to 792 of the family's 1533-position model. The record is from RNAcentral.